UUGAAUUCCGUUCGUCACUAUCAUCUGUCUCAAUGGAGCUGCCGGAGUGCCCAGUGUGCCUCGAAUCCUACGACGACGGCGCGGCGGUUCCUCGGGUCCUAUCGUGCGGCCACACCGUCUGCGAGGCCUGCCUGGCGGAACUCCGUCACCGGUACCCGAAUACAAUCCGGUGCCCCGCUUGUACCCGACUCGUCAAGUACCAAUCCCCUUCUUCUCUUCCAAAGAACAUCGACCUCCUCAGACUCUGCCUGCAACAAUCCUCUUCCUCUGAUCAUCGCUCGCGGAAGCCGAAUCACCGGUCCACGAUCAACGAUGACGAUGAUCGACCUGGAUUCUGGUCCGAUGAGUUCUAUGCCAAUUGGAAGGACUGGAUUCUCCCGCACGACACCGUUUUGGUCGACGACGACGGUGUUCGCCGGUUCGGUUCGGGGUCUAAGGGAAGGGCUUGCUUCGGGGUGAACCACGCUGUGAGUAUCGUUGAUGUAAUUUCCUUGCCUCAUGUGAGUGAUUCGGUUACUGGGUUCAAGUUUAGUUAUGUUGCUUGGGUGAUCAAGUGUUUGAUGGGGAUGAGCGAGGUUGUGAGGGAGGGGUUAGGGUUGAUUCUAGAAGCUUCCGUGAGGCGGAGUAGGGUUUGUAGGGUUUAUGGGUUGUGGUGUGAGGUGGUGGGUGGGCCUUUGUAUUUGGUGAGUGAGAGGCACUGUGGUAGUCUUUUGGAGAAGUUUAGGGAAUUGAAGGAUGGGUUUGUUGGUGUCAGUGGGGAUAAGGGUUGGGUUUUCAGUUUUGUAGUGGUUGGAAAGGGGUUGUGUGAAGCUGUGCUAGCUUUGCAUUUGGAAGGUUUGGUUGCUGGGUGCUUGGGACUUUCCUGCUUCUCUUCUGAUGAGCUUGGUGGGGUUUGUAUUGAUUUGAAUGAGGUGUUGGUGAUGGGAAGGAAGAUUAAGGGUGAUGUUUCUGGUGGCGCGGGUGAUAAACAUGAAGAAGAAGAAGAAGAAGAAGAAGAAGAAGAAGAAGAAGAAGCAAUGUGUAAGGAUUGUUUGCGAAAUGAGCUUUUCGUAAGUCCAGAGGUUUGGUUUAGGUUGUUGCAAAAGGGGGCUGUUGCUCCUGAGAGUGGACAUUCAAGGUAUCCAAUUGGGUAUGGCUCAGAUGUGUGGUCAUUGGCCUGUAUACUUCUGUGGCUUCUUAUUGGAGAUGCACUCCCUCGGAAUACCUUGGAAAUGAAGGAUGAGGGUGAUGGCCUUGAUGUCUCAGCUAGUUACGUUUCUUGGGUGGAGAAAGUUAGUUCUGUUUUGGAAGAGAAAUUAGGCUCUGAAUAUCUAUCACUGGGACAGACACUUUGCAGAUGUUUGGACAUCAAUCCAGGAAACCGUCCAGAUGUGGUGGAUGUGAGGAAAUGCAUUCAGGAUAUGCUAGUGGAACCUCAAUUUGAUUUUCUGGGCAAUUUGGAGGUCACCCUAAAUAGGAACAAGCCAUGUCACUGCUUGAUUCUUGCGGAAUUGUGUCAGUUAACUAAGGAAAGUUCCAAGGAGCAAAGAGAAUUUGAGUUGCAGGAGAAAGGAGAUGGUGGUCAACCAGAUUUUGUUCAAGAUGGGGAAGACGAAUCUAAUGAAGACUUUACUGCUGGCCUAUCUGAGGGGAUGACUGAACUUAAAGUUCUGCAAGGUCAUCUAGAUUGUAUCUCUGGCUUGGCUGUUGGAGGGGGGUAUCUGUUUAGCUCCUCAUUUGAUAAAACUGUCCAUGUGUGGUCCUUGCAGGACUUUUCUCGUUUACACACAUUUAGAGGUCAUCAGAGUAAAGUCAUGGCUCUAGUUUAUGUAGACGAAGAAGAACCAUUGUGCAUAAGUGGUGACAAUGGAGGGGGCAUAUUUAUCUGGGGAAUUACUGCACCACUUGGGCAAGAUCCCUUGAGGAAAUGGUAUGAGCAGAAGGAUUGGCGCUUUAGUGGUAUCCAUUGCUUGACUGUUUCCAGAAAUCAUUGUCUCUACACUGGAAGUGGAGAUAGAACAAUAAAAGCCUGGUCAUUAAAGGAUGGAACUUUGAUGUGCACUAUGAAUGGCCAUAGAUCUGUAGUUUCCACACUUGCAGUAUGUGAUGAGGUUCUUUACAGUGGUAGUUGGGAUGGAACCAUUCGAUUGUGGAGUCUUGAUGAUCACAGCCCAUUGACGGUACUGGGGGAAGAUUUGCCUGGAGAGAUGAAGUCUAUCCUGGCUAUGACUGUCGAUAGGCAUUUGCUUGUUGCAGCAUAUGAGAAUGGAAUCAUUAAGGUCUGGAGAAACGAUGUAUUCAUGAAUUCCAAAACAUUGCAAAAUGGAGCCAUCUUUGCUAUGAGUAUGCACGGAAAAUGUCUUUAUACAGGAGGUUGGGACAAAAAGGUUAAUAUACAGGAAUUAUCAGGAGAUGAGUUUCAACUCGAUGUCAAAGCAUUUGGAUCCAUUUCUUGCAGUUCCGUUGUUACAGCUAUAUUAUGCCGCCAAAGAAAACUUUAUGUUGGAUAUGCUGACAAGUCUAUAAAGGUGUAUGAUUGUAAAUAGUAUGAGUUUGAGUUUCACCAGCUCCAUCUGUUCAGUUCAUGGUUCGAUUGCUCCACUUCCCGUCAAAUGUAAUUUUUUCUCAAAUUAUGUUGUAUCAUGUGAAUAACAUAAAGGUAAUCCGAUCCAAAUGAUUCAUAAAGGACGACAAAAUCCAACAGCAACUCACUAAGGAGAAGUCUCAGAAUCGCAGGGAUUUGGGUACUUUCUGCGAACAAUUUGGUAUUCAAGGUUGUCCCAAGAAACCUAAACCCAGAAAGCAAGAUCCUCCUCCCAGUGUUUGAUGAAGUGAUUUGUUGGGACUAUAUUAGGGCUUGGGAUAAUAUAAUCCUUGGUCUGCAAAACAAAAGUUUCAAACAUUCUUGGCUCAUUUAUUUUAAAUGGACCAACAAAUAUUCUUUUCCAAAUUGGUUUCAUUCAUGGUGGAGCUUCUUUGGACCUACAGCUGAAAUUUUCCCCUCUGAAGUUCUUGAGGGAUAUAAUCACUUCAUCAAACACUGGAACAAAGAGUUGAACAAUUAUCGAAGAGGAUUAAGAGAAGUAGGACGCCACCACGGAGGGGGUUUUUUGCAGAUUUGACAGAAGGUUGUUGUAAUUGAACCUCAAUAGUUUUGUGAGAGAUUUCUUCCUUGAGAAAGUUGAUCUGCUUCUCCUUGUAGGAUAUGACAUUCAAAGUUUUUUCUAUGGGGGGUUCAGAGAAUUUGAAUAAAAUUGGCUGUCCAAGGUGCUGGACAGUAAUGCCA
RNA transcript from Lotus japonicus, 3265 nucleotides. RefSeq lists it as uncharacterized. Lineage: Eukaryota; Viridiplantae; Streptophyta; Magnoliopsida; Fabales; Fabaceae. The record is from RefSeq and is a predicted model, not a curated record. The transcript has 8 exons.